UCCGAUAUGGUGUAACGGUAACAUACGCGCCUCUCAUCUCCCAUAAGGACGCUAGAGUUUUCGCGCGUGCCCGGGGUUCGAUUCCCCGUGUCGGAA
This is a non-coding RNA of Mycena galopus ATCC 62051, 96 nucleotides long. NCBI's taxonomy places the organism in Eukaryota, Fungi, Basidiomycota, Agaricomycetes, Agaricales, Mycenaceae. The record is from the annotation of a GenBank genome assembly.